Long non-coding RNA from Numida meleagris (helmeted guineafowl), 2050 nucleotides. RefSeq lists it as uncharacterized. The record is from RefSeq and is a predicted model, not a curated record. The transcript has 2 exons. NCBI's taxonomy places the organism in Eukaryota, Metazoa, Chordata, Aves, Galliformes, Numididae.
CCAUUCUAACAGAGGAAAAACAGUUAUUGCUAUUAUAGAAUUCCUUCAGAAUAUUCUUACUGUUAUACUUAAGUACAUAAAGGAAAUUAAGCCUGAAGACUCUAAAAUCUCUAGUUGCUGGCAACAUGUGCAGUUAAGUAAUUUACAAAACCAACAUAUGAAAUACAGAUAGUAGUUUAACCUUUAGAAAUGCAAACAAUCCUUGCAACAAAAAGAAUGCACUUUCGAUUUCAGAAUUUUAAUUCACCAUUUUCUCUCCUUUGUUCUAAACAGGGAUGAUGCAAUUUCAGCAACCACCAAUCUCAGCUAGAAAAAGCGGCAGCUUAUCUCAUCAGAAUUGAUCAAGAGUCUUCUGAAAACAAUGGUAAAAGCAACACAGAUGAUUGAAAAUAUUUAAAAUAUAUAUUCAAAUAUAUUUUUGAUUUUGUUUGUAUAUAUUCAAAUAGAAAAAUAAUCAAUUUAGCAUUAAGAAAAUAAAAACAAUGGAGAAAUCCCAGGGUAGAUCGCAUAUUUUUGUAUUUUGGUAUCUUUGCAUACAUAGAGAAAAAAAUACAUCAUCACUACUAGGUAACUAAUAGCAUUGUUUUGAUUUUUUUUCUGUUAAAUAUUUCUUUGAGCUUCAAAUGGGGAAUUAUUGGGAAAAAAAUUAAACACAUUUGUGUUUAUGUACACGUGUAUAUCUAUUUUAUAGGUAAAAUCUACUUUUUUUUUUUUAAGCCUGAAAGUAUCAAAACUCUCUCAAAUACACAAGUAUUAUUUUUACUAACCUUUGACAUCUAAAUGAAGCUCUUCAGUAAAGAAGGUUUUUGUAUCCUUAUUUGGAACUUCUGAAGUCAUUCCAGAAAAGACAGGGUUUUCAGGCAUUAGCCUGAACAAGUGAUAAAGCAGUUUGUUCAAGCUUUUAGUUCUUCUAAGGUAUUGUGAAUAGAGAACUCGCAGCUGAUGGUGUUUGAACAAAGAAACAAACAACAAAAAUAAGAAAAAAAACAAAAACAAAGAUGAGAAUAAAAAAUUUAUUCUGCAAAUAAUACAAGUAUGUUUCUAUAUGGAGAAAAAGCUAUCCUGAGAUUCUGGAUGAGUGUUUAGAAUAGCGACUCAGUUCUUUGUAACCUUCUGAAUGAUUUGAAGAUCAUAAAAUCUCACAAGCUUGUUUAAAACCAGCAAAAAGAAACAUACAUUAAUGAAUGCUAAAGCUUUAUUACUCUAAUAUUGCCAUCCCUAACAGACAUCUAGAUCUACUGAUGCUUUUGGAAUGGAAUCCCACUAAGUCCAAAGGAAGCAGGACAACAUAUAAUUAGAAGAAAGAGGACAAAUAAAAUCUCAAUACCCGCAUCAAGUAAACAUAAUAAAAAUUAAUUUGAAAGGAAAAAAAACUGAGUAUAUACCUGAGAAGAAGCCGCUUUGAAGAAAGUUAAUGUUAACUUCCAAGUGAGAAGAUAUCCUAGAACAAGGCAGAACUCAUCACUCAGGGGCUGAAUAACUGCGAACUCCCCAACCGGAAUGCAUUCUAGGAUGUUUUCUAGUAAGAGCUCUUGAGUGGCAAGGACAGACAUAAGAGCUGCUGGAGGUGAUCUAUGGAAAAAUAUUAUCUGACAUUGUAAACUGAAAACUUUAGCAGAGCAUUAGCUGAACUUAUAUGCACAACCUUCCCAGCAUCCUUUAAAUAAAGCAACAUAGGUAGAACACAGAAGGGGUCUUUUGUUACAGGAAAGCUUAUUUUCAGAUUCACACGCCACUGCUAGAUCUUAACAGUUCUUUCUCCUGUAAAAAAUAGUUGAUCUCUCUCCUCCUCAGAAGAAGGAUAUAAACGAAAUACUGUUCACAAUCUGAAAAGAUGAAUUUAGUCUAUGGCUGAGCUGAUUUAAACUCCAUCAUGGAACACUUAAAUUUUUUCUUCGGUCAAGUCACACCAACAAUGGAGCAACUUAUGUGUUGGGUGUGGGUUUUGGCAAUGGAUUAAAACACCUUUUACACCUCUGUUUUAAAACAUGUUAUUAAUCACUGGACUGCGGUAAAUAAAUAAAAUCAGUUAUCCUAUUCCCUGUUCAAA